This 247-nucleotide ribosomal RNA is filed under the name Heteranthus verruculatus. Its description in RNAcentral is "partial large subunit ribosomal RNA". It matches the Rfam family "Eukaryotic large subunit ribosomal RNA", at positions 33 to 275 of the family's 3401-position model. Lineage: Eukaryota; Metazoa; Cnidaria; Anthozoa; Actiniaria; Phymanthidae. The record is from RNAcentral.
UUCAAGCAUAUCAAUAAGCGGAGGAAAAGAAACUAACAAGGAUUCCCCUAGUAAUGGCGAAUGAAGCGGGAACAGCUCAAAUUUGAAAUCUCCGUCGCCUGCGACGGCGAAUUGUAGUUUCGAGAAGCACUUUCUAGGCGGACCCGGGGCCGUCCAAGUUGCUUGGAACAGCACGUCAUAGAGGGUGACAACCCCGUCUGUGGCGGAACCGGCCGCUGACGAUGCGCUUUCGACGAGUGGGUUGCUU